UUUUUUCCGGAUAAGAAAAACAGUUCUCGUCUUUGCCCCCUUAUUGACCGCCUACGUGUGGUAAGCAAUUUAAACUAUUAAAAAUAAUCUCAACUGGCUACAAUCAUCCCACUUGACAAGUAGAAAAACAAGGCGGUGAUAUGUAAAUAGUAAGUACAUGAGCAAAUUAGCCCCAUUUCAAAUUUCCAAUAGUACAAACAGCCUCUCUGGAUGGAGAUUAUUGCACCGGCACCGGCACCGGCACGAACAUCCAACUCAAGGACAGGCCACAGAGGUGAGACCUCCCUCCUUCAAGACAGCCUGCGGUGCCGUUGCUGUGGUCCAGAGGAAGCACCGUCCCAGAUUUGCCAUGAAUUCAAGGUCAACAUUUCACAAUGCCCAGCAACAGCUGCCGCUCUUCUAGCAGAGUGCCAUUACCUGAGUAACGCAGCUUCAGAGAUAAACUUACUUUGUCCUUAUCAACAAACAGUCAAAGACCAGAAUAUCAAAAUGAUGGAUUUUCACAUAGCGAAAUACCAUGGAUAUAAGAGGGCAGCACUAGCCCCACGGAAGCACGGAGCAGAAAUUAAGCUGCAACUUGAACAUGGACCAGUCAGGUCAGCUGUCGGCAUCUCAAGAAACCCCCAGCUGGAAAAUCAG
Molecule: long non-coding RNA, 639 nt
Filed under: Hordeum vulgare
Lineage: Eukaryota; Viridiplantae; Streptophyta; Magnoliopsida; Poales; Poaceae
Description: long non-coding RNA (HVUL_LNC002931)
Source: RNAcentral